RNAcentral lists this ribosomal RNA (229 nucleotides) under uncultured bacterium. RNAcentral describes it as "partial 16S ribosomal RNA". It matches the Rfam family "Bacterial small subunit ribosomal RNA", at positions 568 to 796 of the family's 1533-position model. The record is from RNAcentral.
UGCGCAGGUGGGCUUGUAAGUCAGUGGUGAAAUACUGCCGCUUAACGGUAGAACUGCCAUUGAUACUGCAAGUCUUGAAUAUGGUUGAGGUAGGCGGAAUGUGUCGUGUAGCGGUGAAAUGCAUAGAUAUGACACAGAACGCCGAUUGCGAAGGCAGCUUACUACGCCAUUAUUGACGCUGAGGCACGAAAGCGUGGGGAGCGAACAGGAUUAGAUACCCUGGUAGUCC